CCUACGGGAGGCAGCAGUGGGGAAUAUUGCACAAUGGGGGAAACCCUGAUGCAGCGACGCCGCGUGAGUGAAGAAGUAUUUCGGUAUGUAAAGCUCUAUCAGCAGGGAAGAAACCCACCCUCCGGGGUGGCUGACGGUACCUGACUAAGAAGCCCCGGCUAACUACGUGCCAGCAGCCGCGGUAAUAAGUAGGGGGCAAGCGUUAUCCGGAUGUACUGGGGGUAAAGGGAGCGUAGGUGGCAAGGCAAGUCAGAUGUGAAAACCCGGGGCCCAACCCCGGGAGUGCAUUUGAAACUGUCUGGCUAGAGUGCAGGAGAGGUAAGUGGAAUUCCUAGUGUAGCGGUGAAAUGCAUAGAUAUUAGGAGGAACACCAGUGGCGAAGGCGGCUUACUGGACUGUAACUGACACUGAGGCUCGAAGGCGUGGGGAGCAAACAGGAGUAGAUACCCCUGUAGUC
This 457-nucleotide ribosomal RNA is filed under the name uncultured bacterium. RNAcentral's name for it is "partial 16S ribosomal RNA". It matches the Rfam family "Bacterial small subunit ribosomal RNA", at positions 338 to 795 of the family's 1533-position model. The record is from RNAcentral.